CACACACUCCUGUAUGCACGGCUGAAAGAGGAACAGUGACAGGAUGGACAAAGAGUGGCAGACACAGAGACGGGAUGAACCAUUCAAGUUUCAACUUUAGAGUGUGGCUCGAGACAGGAGUAUAAAACUGACCUCCCAGGGAGGUUUCUACAAUCCCUGCAACCUGUUGAUCGUGAGAGUGAAGUCUGUCUGUUGUUCAAAUGCUGUGUGCUACUGACACUAGAAUACUGUCCUGUUGUGAGGUCUGCCUCUGUCGACUGGCUGGCUUCAUUACAAAGGUCAGAUGUAAAUGAUUCCUUUGAAUGAGAUGAAAUCAUUUCUGUCUACCGUUACGCUUGCCUGCUCAUUUCUCUGCUUGAUUUAGAGAUCAGUGUUGACACCCAUAACUACUAAAUUGUUUUUGUCUACUUGUUUGUCUGCCUUCUCAACCGUCUCCUCGCAGACAUCCUUCAUUUGUGUGUGUAUCUUGUGUGUGUGUGUGUGUGUGUGUGUGUUUCUAUGUCCAUCCGUUCGUUUGAGUAUCUCUGCAAGACAUAGCUGGCAGCACAAAAUGUAACCAGAGGUGAUAAAAACUUUUAGACAAGCAGCACCGAGCCAUUAUGGUCGGGCUGAAGCAAGACUGGAGCCGCUCAAACAUUCCUCUCAUUGUUUAGAGGCCCUGUAAGUCUGCAAGCUCCCAAACCUCCAUGAAAGGAAGGGAAUCCAGCAGCUACUGUAUCUAACCCACAUUCACAGGAACUUUAGGGCCUGCCAUCUUCUCUCUUCCUGAUCACUGCUUCCCUCCAUUGGUGCUGCCAGUCAGUGGAGGGUAUAUGAACUGUAGUAAUGGAGGUAAUGCCGAGUCGGAUGCACUAAGGAGAGAUCGGGCUUAAUUUGGUAGUCUGUGGCAGAGCUUUUCCAUAUAAGUGAAUGAGACUUUAGAUAACCUGUCAACCAAAGGACAUGGGAAUACGAGAUGGGGGUUAGGGGUUUUGUUGUCUUGGCUUUUGCAGUAGUGGGUUGUUGGGCUUGAUAAAUGAAUAAAGAGACAGAGGUUAGGAGAGAAGGUGGG
RNAcentral lists this long non-coding RNA (1051 nucleotides) under Gouania willdenowi (blunt-snouted clingfish). Its description in RNAcentral is "lncRNA (ENSGWIG00000009615.1)". The record is from RNAcentral. Lineage: Eukaryota; Metazoa; Chordata; Actinopteri; Blenniiformes; Gobiesocidae.